This 748-nucleotide ribosomal RNA is filed under the name uncultured bacterium. RNAcentral's name for it is "partial 16S ribosomal RNA". It matches the Rfam family "Bacterial small subunit ribosomal RNA", at positions 92 to 810 of the family's 1533-position model. The record is from RNAcentral.
CGAGUGGCGAACGGGUGAGUAAUGCAUCGGAACGUGCCCAGUAGUGGGGGAUAGCCCGGCGAAAGCCGGAUUAAUACCGCAUGAGACCUGAGGGUGAAAGCGGGGGAUCGCAAGACCUCGCGCUACUGGAGUGGCCGAUGUCAGAUUAGCUAGUUGGUGGGGUAAAGGCCUACCAAGGCAACGAUCUGUAGUUGGUCUGAGAGGACGACCAGCCACACUGGGACUGAGACACGGCCCAGACUCCUACGGGAGGCAGCAGUGGGGAAUUUUGGACAAUGGGCGCAAGCCUGAUCCAGCAAUGCCGCGUGCAGGAAGAAGGCCUUCGGGUUGUAAACUGCUUUUGUCAGGGAAGAAAUCCUCUGGGUUAAUACCUCGGGGGGAUGACGGUACCUGAAGAAUAAGCACCGGCUAACUACGUGCCAGCAGCCGCGGUAAUACGUAGGGUGCGAGCGUUAACCGGAAUUACUGGGCGUAAAGCGUGCGCAGGCGGCUUUUGCAAAACAGAUGUGAAAUCCCCGGGCUCAACCUGGGAACUGCAUUUUUGACUUGCAAGGCUAAAGUACGGCAAAAGGGGAUGGAAUUCCCCGUUUAGCANUUGAAAUUGCGUAUAUUAUGCGGAAGGAACAGCCGAUUCGCGAAAAGCAAUCCCCCUGGGCCUGGUUCUUUACGCUCAUUGCCCCAAAACCGUUGGGGGGGCAAACCAGGGAUUUANAAUANCCCUGGGUUANUNCCCCCCCCCCUAAACNAA